CCCUUAGAUGUUCUGGGCCGCACGCGUGCUACACUGAGUGGAUCAGCGGGUCAGGUUGCGCGAAAGUGUUUCCUAAUCUUGAAAUCCGCUCGUGAUGGGGAUUGACGGUUGCAAUUUUCCGUCAUGAACGAGGAAUACCUUGUAAGCGCGGGUCAUCAUCCCGCGCUGAUUACGUCCCUGCCCUUUGUACACACCGCCCGUCGCUCCUACCGAUUGAGUGGUCCGGUGAGGCUUUGGGAUCUGAGCGGAAAGAGCGUUUCGCUGUUUCUGCUCGGAAAACUCAGUCGAACCUUAUCAUUUAGAGGAAGGAGAAGUCGUAACA
This 322-nucleotide ribosomal RNA is filed under the name uncultured eukaryote. RNAcentral's name for it is "partial 18S ribosomal RNA". It matches the Rfam family "Eukaryotic small subunit ribosomal RNA", at positions 1470 to 1796 of the family's 1831-position model. The record is from RNAcentral.